This 482-nucleotide ribosomal RNA is filed under the name uncultured bacterium. RNAcentral describes it as "partial 16S ribosomal RNA". It matches the Rfam family "Bacterial small subunit ribosomal RNA", at positions 30 to 507 of the family's 1533-position model. The record is from RNAcentral.
AUUGAACGCUGGCGGCAUGCCUUACACAUGCAAAUCGAACGGUAACGGGCCUUCGGGUGCCGACGAGUGGCGAACGGGUGAGUAAUACAUCGGAACGUGCCCGAUCGUGGGGGAUAACGAGGCGAAAGCUUUGCUAAUACCGCAUACGAUCUACGGAUGAAAGCAGGGGACCGCAAGGCCUUGCGCGGACGGAGCGGCCGAUGGCAGAUUAGGUAGUUGGUGGGAUAAAAGCUUACCAAGCCGACGAUCUGUAGCUGGUCUGAGAGGAUGAUCAGCCACACUGGGACUGAGACACGGCCCAGACUCCUACGGGAGGCAGCAGUGGGGAAUUUUGGACAGUGGGCGCAAGCCUGAUCCAGCCAUGCCGCGCGCAGGAUGAAGGCCUUCGGGUUGUAAACUGAUUUUGUACGGAACGAAAAGCCUUCUUUUAAUACAGGAGGGUCAUGACGGUACCGUAAGAAUAAGCACCGGCUAACUACGUG